This 509-nucleotide ribosomal RNA is filed under the name uncultured bacterium. RNAcentral's name for it is "bacterial SSU rRNA". It matches the Rfam family "Bacterial small subunit ribosomal RNA", at positions 28 to 523 of the family's 1533-position model. The record is from RNAcentral.
GACGAACGCUGGCGGCGUGCUUAACACAUGCAAGUGGAGCGACGAACCAGGCUUCGGCCUGGGGCAGAGCCGCGAACGGGUGAGUAACACGUGGGUAACCCACCCCGGUGACCGGGACAACCCGAGGAAACUCGGGCUAAUACCGGAUGUACUGCUCUCUCACAUGGGAGAACAGGAAAGAUAGCUUCGGCCUUCGCACCGGGACGGGCCCGCGGCGCAUUAGCUUGUUGGUGGGGUAAAGGCCUACCAAGGCGACGAUGCGUAGCUGGUCUGAGAGGACGAUCAGCCACACUGGGACUGAGACACGGCCCAGACUCCUACGGGAGGCAGCAGUGGGGAAUCUUGCGCAAUGCGCGAAAGCGUGACGCAGCAACGCCGCGUGGGGGAAGAAGGCCUUCGGGUUGUAAACCCCUUUCAGUUGGGACGAAGCUUCGCCGGUGAACAGCCGGCUGGAGUGACGGUACCUUCAGAAGAAGCCCCGGCUAACUACGUGCCAGCAGCCGCCGUAA